GGGUGAGUAACGCGUGGGUAACCUGCCUUAUACAGGGGGAUAACAGUCGGAAACGACUGCUAAUACCGCAUAAGCGCACAGUAUCGCAUGAUACAGUGUGAAAAGAUUUAUCGGUAUAAGAUGGACCCGCGUCUGAUUAGCUAGUUGGUGAGGUAACGGCCCACCAAGGCGACGAUCAGUAGCCGGCCUGAGAGGGUGAACGGCCACAUUGGGACUGAGACACGGCCCAAACUCCUACGGGAGGCAGCAGUGGGGAAUACUGCACAAUGGGGGAAACCCUGAUGCAGCGACGCCGCGUGAGUGAAGAAGUAUUUCGGUAUGUAAAGCUCUAUCAGCAGGGAAGAAAAUGACGGUACCUGACUAAGAAGCCCCGGCUAACUACGUGCCAGCAGCCGCGGUAAUACGUAGGGGGCAAGCGUUAUCCGGAUUUACUGGGUGUAAAGGGAGCGUAGACGGGAUGGCAAGUCUGAUGUGAAACCCCGGGGCUCAACCCCGGGCAUGCAUUGGAAACUGUUAACCUAGAGUGUCGGAGAGGUAGGUGGAAUUCCUAGUGUAGCGGUGAAAUGCGUAGAUAUUAGGAGGAACACCGGUGGCGAAGGCGGCUUACUGGACGAUAACUG
RNAcentral lists this ribosomal RNA (620 nucleotides) under uncultured bacterium. Its description in RNAcentral is "bacterial SSU rRNA". It matches the Rfam family "Bacterial small subunit ribosomal RNA", at positions 104 to 742 of the family's 1533-position model. The record is from RNAcentral.